This 322-nucleotide ribosomal RNA is filed under the name Kraken sp. Its description in RNAcentral is "SSU rRNA". The stretch from base 106 to 322 matches the Rfam family "Eukaryotic small subunit ribosomal RNA", at positions 737 to 955 of the family's 1831-position model. The record is from RNAcentral. Lineage: Eukaryota; Cercozoa.
GAUUUCUGGUUUGAUAUGCCUGGCCCGCCACGGUUACGUGUGUGAGUGCCGGUGCGUGUCUGCCAUCCUUCUGGAAAACGUAUCUACCCUUCACUGGGCCGGAUACGCGAUCUAGAUCUUUUACUUUGAAAAAAUUAGAGUGUUUAAAGCAGGCAUUUGCUAUGAAUACAUUAGCAUGGAAUAAUAAUUUAGGACUUCGGUUCUAUUUUGUUGGUUUCUAGGACUGAAGUAAUGAUUGAUAGGGAUAGUUGGGGGUGCUAGUAUUCAGUGGCCAGAGGUGAAAUUCUCGGAUUCACUGAAGACUAACUUAUGCGAAAGCAUU